RNAcentral lists this ribosomal RNA (247 nucleotides) under uncultured bacterium. RNAcentral's name for it is "partial 16S ribosomal RNA". It matches the Rfam family "Bacterial small subunit ribosomal RNA", at positions 796 to 1041 of the family's 1533-position model. The record is from RNAcentral.
CACGCCCUAAACGUUGCACACUCGUUGUUGGGAGAUUCGACCCUUUCAGCAACUAAGCUAACGCGUUAAGUGUGCCGCCUGGGAAGUACGGUCGCAAGACUAAAACUCAAAGGAAUAGACGGGGAUCCGCACAAGCGGUGGAGCAUGUGGUUUAAUUCGACAAUAAGCGAGGAACCUCACCAGGGCUAGAUAUCCAGCUGCAUUCUGAUGGAAACAUCGGAAGCCUUCGAGGGUGCUGGACAGGUGU